AGAAACAGAAGGUCGAGGGAGGA
This 23-nucleotide non-coding RNA is filed under the name Cricetulus griseus (Chinese hamster). The record is from RNAcentral. Lineage: Eukaryota; Metazoa; Chordata; Mammalia; Rodentia; Cricetidae.